Molecule: long non-coding RNA, 290 nt
Organism: Saccostrea echinata
Lineage: Eukaryota; Metazoa; Mollusca; Bivalvia; Ostreida; Ostreidae
Exons: 4
Source: RefSeq, a predicted model, not a curated record
CGAAACAAGCUAAAGCCUAUUGAUUCACGAGAGAAAUCAACAUUAUUGUGAAUACUACACGUAUGAAAUAGUGGGUAAACAAAAUUUCUCAGGAUGUGGUGUGCAGUUACAUGUCAUCAUUAAGAGGAUGAAGAAAUCAACUUUGUUACAGGACACAGAAACAAGAUGAACAGAAGUCAUGCAGUUUUUACCAGACACAAGAAUUUAAUAUGAUAGACUACAUUGUGAAUACUUGGACCCUGCUGUUCACAGGGACAUAAAUAGAAUUCUGUCCCCAGUGUAAAAACAAG